RNAcentral lists this ribosomal RNA (469 nucleotides) under uncultured microorganism. Its description in RNAcentral is "bacterial SSU rRNA". It matches the Rfam family "Bacterial small subunit ribosomal RNA", at positions 9 to 524 of the family's 1533-position model. The record is from RNAcentral.
GAGUUUGAUCCUGGCUCAGAACGAACGCUGGCGGCAUGCCUAACACAUGCAAGUCGAACGAACUCUUCGGAGUUAGUGGCGCACGGGUGCGUAACGCGUGGGAAUCUGCCCUUGGGUACGGAAUAACUCAGAGAAAUUUGUGCUAAUACCGUAUAAUGACUCCGGUCCAAAGAUUUAUCGCCCAAGGAUGAGCCCGCGUAAGAUUAGCUAGUUGGUGGGGUAAAGGCCUACCAAGGCUACGAUCUUUAGCUGGUCUGAGAGGAUGAUCAGCCACACUGGGACUGAGACACGGCCCAGACUCCUACGGGAGGCAGCAGUGGGGAAUAUUGGACAAUGGGCGAAAGCCUGAUCCAGCAAUGCCGCGUGAGUGAUGAAGGCCUUAGGGUUGUAAAGCUCUUUUACCCGGGAUGAUAAUGACAGUACCGGGAGAUAAAGCUCCGGCUAACUCCGUGCCAGCCGCCGCCGUAAG